CCUACGGGCGGCAGCAGUCGAGAAUCAUUCACAAUGGGGGAAACCCUGAUGGUGCGACGCCGCGUGGGGGAAUGAAGGUCUUCGGAUUGUAAACCCCUGUCAUGUGGGAGCAAAUUAAAAAGAUAGUACCACAAGAGGAAGAGACGGCUAACUCUGUGCCAGCAGCCGCGGUAAUACAGAGGUCUCAAGCGUUGUUCGGAAUCACUGGGCGUAAAGCGUGCGGAGGCUGUUUCGUAAGUCGUGUGUGAAAGGCGCGGGCUCAACCCGCGGACGGCACAUGAUACUGCGAGACUAGAGUAAUGGAGGGGGAACCGGAAUUCUCGGUGUAGCAGUGAAAUGCGGAGAUAUCGAGAGGAACACUCGUGGCGAAGGCGGGUUCCUGGACAUUAACUGACGCUGAGGCACGAAGGCCAGGGGAGCGAAAGGGAUUAGAUACCCGUGUAGUC
RNAcentral lists this ribosomal RNA (446 nucleotides) under uncultured bacterium. RNAcentral's name for it is "partial 16S ribosomal RNA". It matches the Rfam family "Bacterial small subunit ribosomal RNA", at positions 338 to 795 of the family's 1533-position model. The record is from RNAcentral.